CUCCCGCACUCGCGCAGCCCCUCGCCUCCCCCUCCCCCUCCUGCCCACUCGCUCGAUCCUCCGUCGCCGCCUCGGUCGCCGGUUGAUUCCGGCCGCUCCGGUGAGCUCCGGCUCCGCCCAACACACGCACGAUUGCUCCUCGACGAGCUCUACCACCUUCACCGCGCCGAUCUACUUUUCGUCGCCUCCUGUGGUCGCCCCUUUGAUUUCCCCCGCUAGGGUUUCAGUGGUGGAGGUGGACCUCGCCUCCAGCGGCUGCCUGCUCGUUGCGCCGGUCAUCUCCGCCCCCGUCAAGGUCGCCCCUCGGAGCUGCUCGUGAUCCACCGGGGGAGGCGAGGAGCACCAGCAGAUCGAGUCCCUGGCGUUUUCCUCUACGAGCUGGGGCUGGCGUGCGCUUCUCCUCGCCGGUAUCACUUCUCCCCUUCCUCUUCUAUGGUGCUCGACAGAGGCAGCACGGCCGCCCCUCUUCUCCCUCGCUGUUGGCUGCCCAUGAGCACCACGCUGCUCACCGGACCGAUUUGUGACACCCCCACCGACCUGAGGUCCGCCUCUGCAGGAGGACAACAUUAUUGGUUAUGUCUGCAAUUACUGCUACUGCUACUGUUUUUGGUUUUGAGUUAUGUCUAUAUCUCAGUUGUUCUCUUUAUUAUUUUGGUUUCAAUUUCCUCUCACAAGAUCUCAGGUGUCUCUUUCCUCUCUCCAAUUUGCUAAUGGUGGUCAUGUGAAUAUUUUUGUAGAUCAGAUGUAGUAGGUUCCAAUAGCAUAUUAUGGUCUGUUUUCCUUUUUAGGCAAAAGUAGCAGUGUUUGGUUUCAUAUCUGACUAGAUUGCUUUGAAAUAUAAUUGGUUGUUAAACUCAAUUCAUUUGGAACUGAGUGAGUAGAUGAAGUGAUUUAGCUUAGCCUCCUCCAGCUAAUUUAGGUGUUGGCCAUCCAUUAUUAGAUUGUACGAAUCGAAUAGAAGUAAUCUUUGUGAAAUCUUAGCUUUGCCCGGUUCAUUCGGCGCCCUCGGAUGCAAGGAUUUUUUUCACAUUCGUGAUGGAACUACACUGUUUCCUCUGAAAUUGACUUUCAAAAGCAGAGCUCUGUAUUAUGGGUGUUGCCUGAUGCCCCAAUGCAGAUUUUUGGCUGUGCCCUUAGUUAGUCAAUUAUUUUAAGGAAAUUGUGAGGGGAAUGUGUGUGCACUCAUAGACAUCCCAAACUCUUGUUUUGUUGGUACCAUGUUGUCUAGGGGGGCAUUGGAUCUAGCUACAUUUUUUAAUAAAGUAUGUCUUUGUUGUUGAGGUGGGGUUCAGGCCUGACAGGUGGGUCAUACGAUAAUUAGAUGGCUUCAUAUUUUUUUGGAUGAAUAGAUGGAUCUUGUGGGAGAUGAUGGCAUCAACUGUCUUGCGGUUUUGCUACAUGGAUCAGAUGACAGCCAGGGCUAGAAUAGAUUCAAUUGUCUUGGAGAUGUUUCUGUCAUAUGAUAGUUAGGAGAUGCUUUGCCGCUUCAUUUGUGCCCCUUUUGAUUGGUAUUUUUGGAUGAAUAAAUGGAUAUUCUGAGGGAUGAAGGCUAAAAUAUAUUCAGUUGUAUUAGAGUUGUAGUGUAUGAAUCUGGUGAGAGAUAAGGGCUGAAAUACAUUCGGUCGUUUUGGAGUUUCAGGUUUUUUGUGCAUUUGGUUCUGGUUGUUUUGAUCUGACUAAGUGACACCUAGGUUUCAUUGAUUUCUUGGGAUUGUUCAUUAUCUUGAUCCAUGCCUGGUACUGAAUCUGAAUGUUUUCAUCUCCGGUACCAUGGCACGGCAUUGGCGGCGGCAUCUUGGUGAGGAAGAGGACGACAGUAGCUUAGGGAGGAAGAUGACACUGGCAACCUGCAGUGUAAGAGGCUGCCGAUGCCGCCGUUGGUGAAGAAGAUGCUGGGUUGCGUCAUCUUUGUGGGAGUAUUGUGGUGAAUUACAUAUUUAGAUUAUGGUAUGGUCAUGGAAACCUAGAGAAGGAAACUGACUUGGGUCUCUAGAGCCAGGACAUGAUCCAGGAGAUGUUCGUCAUGUCGAGCCUCCUAACCAUCAGCUCCAGCCAUUGGCAGCUAGAGUUCCUCGAUGGUUCAUGUGGCCUUAACCGCCGCUGGGCUCCCUGCGCCCACGCCUCAAUUCUUCUACCUCUUCUCAGCUUCGGUGCCUGUGGCGUUUGUGCUCAUCGGUGGGACGGUGCAAGGCGCAACUCCGAUGCAGCGGCGUGGAUGUGCGGUGUAGGAAGCGGUUCCUCGCCGGCUGGACGGCGUUCAGGCGCAACCCUGGCGCCCACUGAGUACUGCCUCGGCUACAGUCUCCCUCAGUGAGCCCCGUCUUCCUUCUGCUCUGCUUCGGCUACUAUAUGGGGCAUGGCCAGAGCUAUGAUGAUCAGUUAUGGCUGAUAUAGGCAUGCUCUCGAGCAGUCGAGGCACUUGUGGGUAUUAAUUUGGGUCCCCCUUGUUUCUUUGAGCCAUUUUGAUCACGUUCUUAUUUUAGUGGCUCUGUCCUUGGAUGGUCAUUUCUGAUGAGUGAUAACCAGGUCAGUUUCACCCUCGUAAGAACAUAUUGAUCUGGUGAUCCAGAAACAAGAACCGCAGAAGCUUCCGUGCGUUGUCAGCAAUUUGGCACAUCCGGCCGUGCAUUCCGGUUCCUUGAUGCGAUUCUGGUUGUUGGAUUGAGUGCGUGGAAGGCCUCGGCCGUCGGAUCGAACCCGUGCUCCUGUGCCAAUUAAUAGUUACUCCCGCGGUGAAAUAUCUCGUGCCGCCGCCUGUAAUUCACAUGCCCCACCGGUUGGAAGCCAUUCUUGCUAGGGCGAUGAUGAUUCACCGUGGUUGAAAUAAGUGUGCCUUUGAGCAGUCGAGGCACCUGUGGGCAUCAAGUUGGAUCCUCCCUCUUGUCUCUAGAAUCCUUUUCGAUCCUGUGAUACUUAUUGUUCUGUCCUUGGAUGGUCAUUCUUGUUGAGUGAUAACCAGGGCAGCUCCACUGUAUAAACAGAUUGAGAUAUGGUGAUAAGAGAUGACGGGGGUAGGUUAUAUGAUCGAGGAAAGACGAAUCUGAGCCCGCUAUGCAAUUAACCCUGAGCCCUUUUUAUUUGUAUUCAAACGUGUUGCCUAUUUAUGCUCCAGUGUUUAUAGCCGUCUUAUGUAAAGAUUUCUUCUCUCUCGUACCUUUAUUGCAUAUAAGUUUUUUUGAUCUUUUAUUGUUUGUUGUUGGUCCUUGAUUUAGUCUGCUUAAGAGUAAGUUGCACUUUGUUAUACUAGAAUUACCCGCUCCCAGCAAGUUAUCGGCUCGAGGCACCUACGUGUAUCAAGUUGGAUCCUCCCUCUUGUCUCUAAAUCCUUUUUGACCAUGUGAUAUUUGUUUUUUCCUUGGAUGAUCAUUCUUGUUGAGUGAUAACCAGGGCAGCUCCACUGUAUAGACAAUUUUUUUACUGCUGUGAUUAAGUGCUCGGUUGAUCCGAGUCAUUGAGCGGACAUUUCCUUUUGUUGUCUUUAGUUUGUUCGGAAGCUUUCCCCAGUUCUGUUUGUCACCACUGCAUUCUUUGGAUCAUGCACCAGACUAAAUGUAGGUAAACUGAGAAUUGCUGAAAGGCAGACUAUGACAUUGUUACAAUGCCUAUGCUAAAAUAAAAUGUAUGUUGCUCUCACACCUCAGCUAUGAUGCUCUAGCAUCAUUGAUUGUAGUAGCCGCAGAUCACUAGCUAGCUCUUCUUAGUUAAUUUGAGUCAGAGGAUGGAAACUUGACCUUCAAUGCUAAAUGUGGAUAACAUAUACUAGGAUACAGAGGUUGGAAACUUCAAUUUUAAGACUAAUGAGAUUCCUUGUAAAUCCUCACUUUGGUUUUAAAUUUUGCAAUGCUCUACACAUCUUUGAUUAAGGAAACAAUGUUCCAAGUGAAUAGAUUUUUAGUAGAUUCAUUUUGUGUUAUUUGUUUUGCAGCACAGGGAAUGUCUUUUGCAUGGCAGAAAGAGUUGUGGUGGGCAAAGAGGUCAUAAUUAACAAAUAACCAACUUAAUUACUUAUAUACCUAGAGGUUGUAUUUUUAAUCAACUUAGUCUUUGCAUGUGCGGUGGUUUCAACAUGUGCUUUGUCGAAAAUCCUUGGUUCAUGGCAAAUUCAAUCAAUACUGUGAGUUUAUAAUCUAGCGGAUGUGGAGCCGAUGGAUUUUUUUCUUGGAGAGUGUAUGUUUGUCUGAAUUAGUGUUCGCGUCGCCUAUGUCAUGUAGAAAGCUUGCAAACUUGCAUUGAUACAUCGUUUCCAAAUUAGUGUUCGUGUCGCCCAUGUCAUGUAGAAAGCUUGCAAACUUGCAUUGAUACAAAUGUGCAGAUCAUAUCAUAUGCCAUGCCUUUGACCUUGCGUUAUUCAAAUUUAGUGCAAACAUUUUGUAGAAUUGCUGCUCUAAUAUUUUGUGCAUUUGAAUUUAAUAUGCACUUUAUCUUCAAGGUUUUCCCAUUAUGGUUCUGUUUUGUCACAGAUAAGUGUCAAUUUCUUUAGUAUGUACAACUGAAACAUGAUCUUCCCACAUUUGUUCACCCAUGUCUACAUGUGCAUUGUGAUGUGUGCAGUUAAAAAAUGUCCAUGCUGAUGCCCGAUGAGUUCCGAUCAUUUAUCUGCAAUACUGAAUAAAUAUCUCAAUGCUUUUCUCUAAGAAAUAGAUACACUUUUGUACUGGCCUCGGCCCAUUUAAUGAUCAAGAAUAUUAUCAACUACUCUGUCAAUAACUGGUAAAUAAUCUCUCUUUUACUGGUCAAAGAAAGUUAUAUAAUUGUCUGUAGAUUAGCUAGAUAGGAGUCUAUUGGAUCGACAGCUAGCAAGUUACAAAAAAAAUUCUCUUUUUGUGCUCAGAUGUUGAAUAGUCACCGAGUUGUUAUGUUUUGGGCUCUAUUCAAAACAUGUAUUCUUCUGUAAUUUUUUUGGCCCAUAAUAAUCAGACUCGAUUCCGAAUAGCAAGUGCGCCUGAUCACUGUUCGUCCACCUCCAGUGGUUUUUGCUUGUUUUACCUUAGCCUUCAUAGUCCCUCAAGGAAAUUAUCACUGAACUCCGACAAUGGCAUUCUCUCACUUUUGUGAGCGACGCUUGAUUUUCUCUUAGUAUUAGUUCUUUACUGAAUUUUGUUGGUACAUAAAUGGUUCUUUACUGAAGAUACUUGUAUGUGUCCAUGUGUAUGGAGAAUGGUGAUGAAACCCGCGCCCACCUCCAUGCCCCACCGUCAUGCUGCUGCAGGUUCACCUCUCUCUCUCUCUCUCUCUCUCUCUCUCUCUCUCUCUCUCUCUCUCUCGGUCUUGCCUCUCCUUGCAGGUCGACGCCGUCGUGCAGCCACGGACGUGAUCUCCGACCAUCCCUCCUCAUAGCUUGCAGUCCAGGUCGAUGGCAAAUUCGAGUUCCAGGAGGCCUUUUUGUGCUGCAGCUGCAGGUUUGUGUUCUUGGGAAAAAUAUUUAUUUUUUUCUUAUAUUGGUGAUGCGGGUGAGUUGAUUUCUGCCUGAUUUGUGCCUUUUCAUCUUGAUCUGUUUAGCAUUGGAGCCCUUGAAGCAUUUGAAUGGAGCACAUAUAGGCAUGCUCCGGUUCAUCUUAGGUAAGUGUGAAUCUGCAGAGCACGGCGGAGAAGAGCCAAACCGUGGUGAGUCGAUUACAUCUUGCGGCUAUGCCCGUGAUGCAGUGGCUGGUACGCUCCCAUGGUGGCGACGCAAAUGCACUUGAUCAAUUCUCUGGAGCGACGCUGACGACGAGUUAUGGACCAUGACGCCGCCUCCCAGUCUCGCCCUCUGCUACGUCCACCAGUACACAGGGAGUGUUUCAAGCGACAGCAGAGCGAGUACCGAGAGAGGAGAUGAACCUGGGCGAGCAAAAUUGAGAACUAUGGCAGCGGUGAGUACUCCAAUGGGCGAGCAAAAUUGAGAACUGUGGCAGCGCCUGUACACCAACUCGCCUCCACCUUGGCGGGGGCGAGGAAGAGCCCAGCACCAGCAGGCGAGGAGAUCCUGAGAUUAGGAGAGAAGGAGAUCAUGGGCGUGGGAGAGGAGCAGAUACUGGGCGUGGACAUCUUGGUGCUGGGGAUUUAUUUUUCUCUUGAACCUAAAAAUCAAUCGUCUCUUGAGUAGAUGUGUGCUAAACUUGCCUUCCUAUUAACACAACAUGUAUUUGAUCUUUAUUCUCUUGGACAAGUCGUUUGGACCGGCACCCUCGCGCCAUGGCGCGAUCCUGAUCUAGUUUCUAGCAAGCUACAACAAUGUACAGGUCAUUCAUAAUGGUGAACAGUGGAAGAAACCCACCUCAGGUCUUGUAAAAAUAAA
Molecule: long non-coding RNA, 6277 nt
Organism: Triticum aestivum (bread wheat)
Lineage: Eukaryota; Viridiplantae; Streptophyta; Magnoliopsida; Poales; Poaceae
Exons: 5
Source: RefSeq, a predicted model, not a curated record